This 1202-nucleotide long non-coding RNA is filed under the name Homo sapiens (human). RNAcentral describes it as "long intergenic non-protein coding RNA 2671". The record is from RNAcentral. Lineage: Eukaryota; Metazoa; Chordata; Mammalia; Primates; Hominidae.
AGUGCCAUCUUUUUUGUUCCUUACUGUACAUGUGACUUGCAAAGAGAAGAGAUGAUGGAGCCGCCAUUUUGAACAUGCCUAUUCCCAGGGUCCCUUAGCUGUGGUGCAAGUGGGGCAUGUGCAAUCAAAAAUUCAUCCAUUCUGAGCAGCUUUCUUGAGCCUUGGACCAGUUCACAAUGGACCUGAGGCUUCUUUUGCCCCUUUCUGCUUAUGGGUGCAGUGGAUGAGAUACUGUUUGAUAACAUGAGAAGACCAACAAGAUCAGAACAGAAACCCUCAGGCUACAAAUACAUGGAAAUAGCAAAUAGUGCCACCACGCCCAGCUAAUUUAUUUUGUAUUUUUCGGGGUCUCACCAUCUUGGCCAGGCUGGUCUUGAACUCCUUACCUUGUGAAACACCCACCUUGGCCUCCCAAACUGCUGGGAAUACAGGCAUGAGCCACCACACCGGGCCAAUACAUAGUUUUUUAUAAAGAGAUAUUCGCCUGUGAAAGAAAUUGAAUCCAUGGUUGUCAGAAGUGAAUAGAAAGUUAAAAACCAUUAAUAAGUUAAUAUUUUCAUUAAUUCAACAAAUAUGAUUGAGUACAAUGAGAUCCCAGGCACUAUUCAGGAUUUCCACAGACAUGAAUGAAACAAAAGUCUUCCUAAUGUCAGAGCUAAAGUAAUAAACACAGUACUUUUCAAUAAAAUCACAGGGAUUAUUGGACAAGGAAUGAGUAUUCACACCUAUAUUCUUUUCUUGAAGACAAGAAUGUUCAAGCACACUGAAGAUGAGGAACUAAAACUAAGACAAUGUAAAGAGGUCAAAUCGACUUUCUCUAUAAGCAAAGCAAAAGCAUCAUCAGUCUACCAUGACUCUCAGUGAAUCAAAAGCUAUUUAUCAGAAAAAAAAGUACAUUCGGCCGGGCGUGGUGGCUCACGCCUGUAAUCCCAGCACUUUGGGAGGCCGAGGCAGGUGGAUCACAAGGUCAGGAGAUCAAGACCAACCUGGCUAACACAGUAAAACCCCGUCUCUACUAAAAAUACAAAAAAUUCCCGGGCGUGGUGGCGGUUGCCUGUAGUCCCAGCUACUUGGGAGGCUGAGGCAGGAGAAUGGCAUGAACCCGGGAGGCAGAGCUUCCAGUGAGCCGAGAUUGUGCUACUACGCCCCAGCCUGGGCGAGACUCCGUCUCAAAAAAAAAAAAAAAAAAAAAAAGCAGAAAA